RNAcentral lists this ribosomal RNA (432 nucleotides) under uncultured bacterium. Its description in RNAcentral is "partial 16S ribosomal RNA". It matches the Rfam family "Bacterial small subunit ribosomal RNA", at positions 29 to 507 of the family's 1533-position model. The record is from RNAcentral.
ACGCACGCUGGCGGCAUGCCUAACACAUGCAAGUCGAACGAGACCUUCGGGUCUAGUGGCGCACGGGUGCGUAACGCGUGGGAAUCUACCCUCAGGUUCGGAAUAACUCAGAGAAAUUUGAGCUAAUACCGGAUGAUGACGUAAGUCCAAAGAUUUAUCGCCUGAGGAUGAGCCCGCGUAGGAUUAGGUAGUUGGUGAGGUAAAGGCUCACCAAGCCGACGAUCCUUAGCUGGUCUGAGAGGAUGAUCAGCCACACUGGGACUGAGACACGGCCCAGACUCCUACGGGAGGCAGCAGUGGGGAAUAUUGGACAAUGGGCGAAAGCCUGAUCCAGCAAUGCCGCGUGAGUGAUGAAGGCCUUAGGGUUGUAAAGCUCUUUUACCCGGGAUGAUAAUGACAGUACCGGGAGAAUAAGCUCCGGCUAACUCCGUG